This 207-nucleotide ribosomal RNA is filed under the name uncultured bacterium. RNAcentral's name for it is "partial 16S ribosomal RNA". It matches the Rfam family "Bacterial small subunit ribosomal RNA", at positions 568 to 774 of the family's 1533-position model. The record is from RNAcentral.
CGUGUAGGUGGAUUUCUAAGUCAGAUGUGAAAUACCUCUGCUCAACAGAGGAACUGCAUUUGAAACUGGUUAUCUUGAGUGUAGGAUGAGAGAGUGGAAUUUUCGGUGUAGCGGUGAAAUGCGUAGAUAUCGAGAAGAACACCAGUGGUGCAAACGGCUCUCUGGCCUAACACUGACACUGAGGCGCGAAAGCUAGGGUAGCGAACG